CCCUUAGAUGGCCUGGGCGGCACGCGCGCUACAAUGAUGCAUUCAAAAAGUCUUCUGACCUUAGAAGGUUGGGUAUUCUCCAAAGUGCAUCGUGAUGGGAAUAGUUUAUUGCAAUUUUUAAUCUUGAACGAGGAAUUCCUAGUAAGUACAGGUCAUCAACUUGUGUUGAUUACGUCCCUGCCCUUUGUACACACCGCCCGUCGCUCCUACUGAUUGAGUGUCUCGGUGAAUUCUUUGAUCUUCUGUCGAUUCAGUUCACUGAUCCGACGGUGGAAAGUUGAAUGAACUUCGUCACUUAGAGGAAGGAGAAGUCGUAACA
This 319-nucleotide ribosomal RNA is filed under the name uncultured eukaryote. RNAcentral describes it as "partial 18S ribosomal RNA". It matches the Rfam family "Eukaryotic small subunit ribosomal RNA", at positions 1470 to 1796 of the family's 1831-position model. The record is from RNAcentral.